AGUGAACGCUGGCGAUAGGCCUAACACAUGCAAGUCGAACGGCAGCACAGUAAGAGCUUGCUCUUACGGGUGGCGAGUGGCGGACGGGUGAGGAAUACAUCGGAAUCUACUUUUUCGUGGGGGAUAACGUAGGGAAACUUACGCUAAUACCGCAUACGACCUACGGGUGAAAGCAGGGGAUCUUCGGACCUUGCGCGAUUGAAUGAGCCGAUGUCGGAUUAGCUAGUUGGCGGGGUAAAGGCCCACCAAGGCGACGAUCCGUAGCUGGUCUGAGAGGAUGAUCAGCCACACUGGAACUGAGACACGGUCCAGACUCCUACGGGAGGCAGCAGUGGGGAAUAUUGGACGAUGGGCGCAAGCCUGAUCCAGCCAUACCGCGUGGGUGAAGAAGGCCUUCGGGUUGUAAAGCCCUUUUGUUGGGAAAGAAAAGCAGCAGGUUAAUACCCCGCUGUUCUGACGGUACCCAAAGAAUAAGCACCGGCUAACUUCGUG
This 492-nucleotide ribosomal RNA is filed under the name uncultured bacterium. RNAcentral describes it as "partial 16S ribosomal RNA". It matches the Rfam family "Bacterial small subunit ribosomal RNA", at positions 29 to 507 of the family's 1533-position model. The record is from RNAcentral.